GCGCCUAUAGCUCAAUUGGACAGAGCGUCAGCCUCCGGAGCUGAAGGUUUCGAGUUCGACCCUCGAUAGGCGCA
This 74-nucleotide transfer RNA is filed under the name Omnitrophica bacterium RIFCSPHIGHO2_02_FULL_46_11. Its description in RNAcentral is "tRNA-Arg". It matches the Rfam family "tRNA". Rfam says of the family: Transfer RNA (tRNA) molecules are approximately 80 nucleotides in length. Their secondary structure includes four short double-helical elements and three loops (D, anti-codon, and T loops). The record is from RNAcentral. Lineage: Bacteria; Pseudomonadati; Candidatus Omnitrophota. RNAcentral also lists the same sequence under 1 other name.